UACAGAGGGUGCGAGCGUUGUCCGGAAUCACUGGGCGUAAAGGGCGCGUAGGUGGCUUGGUAAGCGUGUGGUGAAAGUCCGGGGCUCAACCCCGGAUCUGCCAUGCGAACUGCUGAGCUUGAGCAAUGUAGAGGCAGGUGGAAUUUCGGGUGUAGCGGUGGAAUGCGUAGAUAUCCGAAAGAACACCAGUGGCGAAGGCGGCCUGCUGGGCAUUAGCUGACACUGAGGCGCGACAGCGUGGGGAGCAAACAGG
RNAcentral lists this ribosomal RNA (253 nucleotides) under uncultured bacterium. RNAcentral's name for it is "partial 16S ribosomal RNA". It matches the Rfam family "Bacterial small subunit ribosomal RNA", at positions 524 to 776 of the family's 1533-position model. The record is from RNAcentral.